GUGAGGAAUAUUGGUCAAUGGGCGGGAGCCUGAACCAGCCAAGUCGCGUGAAGGAAGAAGGAUCUAUGGUUCGUAAACUUCUUUUGCAGGGGAAUAAAGUGCAGGACGUGUCCUGUUUUGUAUGUACCCUGAGAAUAAGGAUCGGCUAACUCCGUGCCAGCAGCCGCGGUAAUACGGAGGAUCCGAGCGUUAUCCGGAUUUAGUGGGUUUAAAGGGUGCGUAGGUGGAUUGAUAAGUCAGCGGUGAAAGUUUGCAGCUUAACUGUAAAAUUGCCGUUGAAACUGUCGGACUUGAGUGUAAAUGAGGUAGGCGGAAUGCGUGGUGUAGCGGUGAAAUGCAUAGAUAUCACGCAGAACUCCGAUUGCGAAGGCAGCUUACUAAGCUACAACUGACACUGAAGCACGAAAGCGUGGGGAUCAAACAGGAUUAGAUACCCCAGUAGUCC
RNAcentral lists this ribosomal RNA (445 nucleotides) under uncultured bacterium. RNAcentral's name for it is "partial 16S ribosomal RNA". It matches the Rfam family "Bacterial small subunit ribosomal RNA", at positions 354 to 796 of the family's 1533-position model. The record is from RNAcentral.